GGCAUUGACAAUAAAAAGGCUUAAAUAAGCCCACAAAAUUAUAAAUAUACCCCGAUAAUGGUAAACAAAAAUAGAAAUAUGAGUGUUGUUAAGCAGUUACAAUUGGCUUCCCUCUGAAGCAUGGAGGUCAACUGGCUAAAAGAAAUCGAGAAUGUAGGCAAGAUAAAGGACUCUCCUUUAUUCUAAUUGGCUUAGGUCCAGAGUAGCAUUGCAUUCAGAUCACAAUCAACAUGUUUUGCUACUUUCCUCUUCCUUUUAUUAUCUUAUUGCUUUAUAUUACUCAGUCCUACCUUUGUCCUACACCAUUUUCUACAAAGUUCAGAAAAAUAUCAUCAUAAAACAACAUAAUUGUGGAAUAGAAGGGCAGAAAAAAAGGAGUUUUUUUUUUUUUUUUUUUUAAAGGGGGGGGGGGGGGGGGGAGGGUUUGGGUGGUGGUGGGUUCGAUUACCACUGAUGUGAUUAAGUCCAAGGUCUGA
Molecule: unclassified non-coding RNA, 476 nt
Filed under: Hevea brasiliensis (rubber tree)
Lineage: Eukaryota; Viridiplantae; Streptophyta; Magnoliopsida; Malpighiales; Euphorbiaceae
Source: RNAcentral